RNAcentral lists this ribosomal RNA (382 nucleotides) under uncultured eukaryote. Its description in RNAcentral is "partial 18S ribosomal RNA". It matches the Rfam family "Eukaryotic small subunit ribosomal RNA", at positions 592 to 976 of the family's 1831-position model. The record is from RNAcentral.
UGUAAGCGUAUACCAAAGUUGAUGCAGUUAAAACGCUCGUAGUCGGAAUUUGGCAGUUCCGGAUGUGUGCACGUCGUGUGCGCACUUCGCGGGGAUUGCUUUUGUGGUCUUGCGUAGGAUGAGGCACUUUUAUUAGUGAACGUCCUCACGCAACCACUUUUUACUGUGAGAAAAUCAGAGUGCUCAAAGCAGGCAUUUGCCGUGAAUGUAUUAGCAUGGAAUAAUAGAAUAGGACUUGGUUCUAUUUUGUUGGUUUGUUGGGACUGAGUAAUGAUUAAGAGGGACAGUUGGGGGCAUUUGUAUUUCGGUGCUAGAGGUGAAAUUCUUAGAUUACCGAAAGACAAACUGCUGCGAAAGCGUCUGCCAAGGAUGUUUUCAUUGA